Molecule: non-coding RNA, 387 nt
Filed under: Rachicladosporium sp. CCFEE 5018
Lineage: Eukaryota; Fungi; Ascomycota; Dothideomycetes; Cladosporiales; Cladosporiaceae
Description: Eukaryotic large subunit ribosomal RNA
Rfam family: Eukaryotic large subunit ribosomal RNA
Source: Rfam by way of RNAcentral
CCGUCGUCCCAAUGGUAAUACCGCUUAGUACGAGAGGAACCGCGGUUUCAGAUAAUUGGUUUUUGCGGCUGUCCGACCGGGCAGUGCCGCGAAGCUACCAUCUGCUGGAUUAUGGCUGAACGCCUCUAAGUCAGAAUCCAUGCCAGAAAGGGACGAUUCUCUCCAGCACGUCGUACGAGGAUACGAAUAGGCUUCGGCCCCGGACCUUAGCAGGGCGCAACUCCCUCCCCGUGGAAGUCGGGGUGGGUAAGUGCCGGAUAGCAAUUUGACAGCGCGCUGGGAUGAAACCUUUGCAGACGACUUAGACGUGCGAACGGGUCGUGUAAGCAGUCGAGUAGCCUUGUUGUUACGAGCUGCUGAGCGUAAGCCCGAUUCGCCCAGUUUUGU